RNAcentral lists this ribosomal RNA (468 nucleotides) under uncultured bacterium. RNAcentral's name for it is "partial 16S ribosomal RNA". It matches the Rfam family "Bacterial small subunit ribosomal RNA", at positions 28 to 507 of the family's 1533-position model. The record is from RNAcentral.
GACGAACGCUGGCGGCGUGCUUAACACAUGCAAGUCGAACGGAAAGGCCCUGCUUUUGUGGGGUGCUCGAGUGGCGAACGGGUGAGUAACACGUGAGUAACCUGCCCUUGACUUUGGGAUAACUUCAGGAAACUGGGGCUAAUACCGGAUAGGAGCUCCUGCUGCAUGGUGGGGGUUGGAAAGUUUCGGCGGUUGGGGAUGGACUCGCGGCUUAUCAGCUUGUUGGUGGGGUAGUGGCUUACCAAGGCUUUGACGGGUAGCCGGCCUGAGAGGGUGACCGGCCAAAUUGGGACUGAGAUACGGCCCAGACUCCUACGGGAGGCAGCAGUGCGGUAUAUUGCACAAUGGGCGGAGGCCUGAUGCAGCAACGCCGCGUGCGGGAUGACGGCCUUCGGGUUGUAUACCGCUUUCGCCUGUGACGAAGCGUGAGUGACGGUAAUGGGUAAAGAAGCACCGGCUAACUACGUG